CCUACGGGUGGCAGCAGUGAGGAAUCUUGGUCAAUGGACGAGAGUCUGAACCAGCCAAGCAGCGUGAAGGAUGACUGCCCUAUGGGUUGUAAACUUCUUUUAUAUGGGAAUAAAAUGUUCCACGUGUGGGAUUUUGUAUGUACCAUAUGAAUAAGGAUCGGCUAACUCCGUGCCAGCAGCCGCGGUAAUACGGAGGAUCCGAGCGUUAUCCGGAUUUAUUGGGUUUAAAGGGAGCGUAGGUGGAUUGUUAAGUUAGUUGUGAAAGUUUGCGGCUCAACCGUAAAAUUGCAGUUGAAACUGGCAGUCUUGAGUACAGUAGAGGUGGGCGGAAUUCGUGGUGUAGCGGUGAAAUGCUUAGAUAUCACGAAGAACUCCGAUUGCGAAGGCAGUUCACUGGACUGCAACUGACACUGAGGCUCGAAAGUGUGGGUAUCAAACAGGAUUAGAUACCCCUGUAGUC
RNAcentral lists this ribosomal RNA (460 nucleotides) under uncultured bacterium. RNAcentral's name for it is "partial 16S ribosomal RNA". It matches the Rfam family "Bacterial small subunit ribosomal RNA", at positions 338 to 795 of the family's 1533-position model. The record is from RNAcentral.